This 583-nucleotide ribosomal RNA is filed under the name uncultured bacterium. RNAcentral describes it as "partial 16S ribosomal RNA". It matches the Rfam family "Bacterial small subunit ribosomal RNA", at positions 355 to 1375 of the family's 1533-position model. The record is from RNAcentral.
UGGGGAAUUUUGGACAAUGGGCGAAAGCCUGAUCCAGCAAUGCCGCGUGUGUGAAGAAGGCCUUCGGGUUGUAAAGCACUUUUGUCCGGAAAGAAAUCCUUGGCUCUAAUACAGUCGGGGGAUGACGGUACCGGAAGAAUAAGCACCGGCUAACUACGUGCCAGCAGCCGCGGUAAUACGUAGGGUGCAAGCGUUAAUCGGAAUUACUGGGCGUAAAGCGUGCGCAGGCGGUUUGCUAAGACCGAUGUGAAAUCCCCGGGCUCAACCUGGGAACUGCAUUGGUGACUGGCAGGCUAGAGUAUGGCAGAGGGGGGUAGAAUUCCACGUGUAGCAGUGAAAUGCGUAGAGAUGUGGAGGAAUACCGAUGGCGAAGGCAGCCCCCUGGGCCAAUACUGACGCUCAUGCACGAAAGCGUGGGGAGCAAACAGGAUUAGAUACCCUGGUAGUCCACGCCCUAAACGAUGUCAACUAGUUGUUGGGGAUUCAUUCCUUAGUAACGUAGCUAACGCGUGAAGUUGACCGCCUGGGGAGUACGGUCGCAAGAUUAAACUCAAAUGAAUUGACGGGGUCAUAGCUGUUUCCU